CUGUUUUACAAAAACAUGGCUCUCUGUAUAUUGAAGAUAGAGAGUCGGACCUGCCCGGUGAAUUUUUUAACGGCCGCGGUACUCUGACCGUGCAAAGGUAGCAAAAUCAUUUGCCUUAUAAUUGAAGGCUAGAAUGAAUGGUUUGACAAGAAUACAACUGUCUCUUUACAAUUACAUAAAAUUUUAUCUGCAGUUGAAGAAGCCUGCAUUUGAAUAAAAGACAAGAAGACCCUAUCGAGCUUAAAAAAAACUGGUGGAAUAACAAACUUAAUCCUAACUUAUAAAUAAAUAAAUAGUCAACUACUGGAAAUUUUGGUUGGGGCGACCGGGGAACAAAAAAAACUUCCUUUAUAAAAAUUUAGAUGCCCAAAUAUUGAUCCAGCAUUAUAUGAUUAAAGAAAUUAGUUACCGUAGGGAUAACAGCAUUAUCUUUUUUAAGAGUUCUUAUCGAAAAAAAGGUUUGUGACCUCGAUGUUGGACCAGAAUAUCCUAAAGAUGCAGCCGUCUUUAAGGGUUGGUCUGUUCGACCAUUAAAAUUCUACGUGAUCUGAUUCAGACCGG
RNAcentral lists this ribosomal RNA (561 nucleotides) under Turbinella rapa. RNAcentral describes it as "partial 16S ribosomal RNA". It matches the Rfam family "Bacterial large subunit ribosomal RNA", at positions 1800 to 2619 of the family's 2925-position model. Lineage: Eukaryota; Metazoa; Mollusca; Gastropoda; Neogastropoda; Turbinellidae. The record is from RNAcentral.